RNAcentral lists this long non-coding RNA (1543 nucleotides) under Mus musculus (house mouse). RNAcentral describes it as "predicted gene, 26885". Lineage: Eukaryota; Metazoa; Chordata; Mammalia; Rodentia; Muridae. The record is from RNAcentral.
GUGUAUUUAUUUUACUUUAUGUCUAUGGACAGUUUGCACCACGUGGGCCUGCCUGCCUGAUAGAUAGCCGGGGUCAGGGCUUCUGGAUGGUGUGAGCCACUAUGUGGGAGCUGGAGAUUGAACCUCGGUCCACUGCAAGAGCAACACGUGUUUUUGUUUUUGUUUGUUUUGUUUUAACCAAUGAGCCCCUUCUCCAGGCCUUAAACCAGUGUUUAAUCUGGUCUGGAAACAUCUCUUAGAAAGAGGUGUCCCAAAGUUGGAACACCGCGAUCUUUUCCCUGGGACAUUGUCUCUUUGAGUCCUCACGUGUGACGUUACUAUCUUAUCUCCAGAUCCAAAGAAGCGUCUUUCUCUGAUUCCUUUUAUCUGGAAGAACUGAGAGGAGACGGGCGAACGGUUGUGAGAAUCUCUUUAAGGGGCAGUCCUGGAAUGAGUGAAGGUUUGAACGCUUUUCUUAAAAUCAGAGUCCCGGGAAAUUUUCAUUUUUUCUUCGGUUUUGGCGCCGUGCACCGCUGACUCCUGGCCGCCUGUCUCUCCUAUGGCCUGGCAUCUUCACAGAUGCAGAUUUUGAAAAUGCAUUUCUCCUUUAUCUGAGAGCCCCUCCUGCCCCCUCCUCCAGGACCGACACACUAUGCGUGGAACCUGUGAUGCUAGGCCAUCCUUCCUAUGGUUUGACAUAUUGUCUCACCAGUAAAGGGUAGAGCUGGAACCCACCAUGAAAUCCUGGCCCAGCAAAAUACGUGCCCUAGAGAAGAAGGACCACAAACUCAAGGUCACCUGGGGCUACAUACUUAAGAUCCAGUCUCAAAACUCCAAAUCAAACAAAAAUUGCGCUAAUAAUAAAUUGUAGGAAGUAAGAAGAUGACACCAGGUAGCAGGUCUCAGGCAGCCUCUUUCUGGCUUUAGACUCAUGAUGGCUUAGAGUAGUUUUGAACUCCCAGUAUCAUCUUCUAAAUGUGCAUCUCGACAAAAAAAAAAGGAAUGACUUCGCCGGGCGUGGUGGCGCACACCUUUAAUCCCAGCACUCGGGAGGCAGAGGCAGGCGGAUUUCUGAAUUCGAGGCUAGCCUGGUCUACAAAGUGAGCUCCAGGACAGCCAGGGCUAUACAGAGAAACCCUGUCUCGAGAAAAAAAAAAAAAAAAAAGGAAUGAUUUCUCUGAGAUAGGGCCACAUGUAGCCCAGGCAACCCUCAAACUGUGAAGUCACAGAUUAUCUGAUCCUCCUGCCUCCACCUCCCAGUGUAAUUAAAAGUACAGCUAGCCUGGUGGCACGCCAUGCCUGACAUAGAGAGAGCAUGCAUCCAACUAAGGGCUUCAUUCUUACUAAGGCAAGCAUUCUGCCUACUGAGCUACAUACAUCCCCGGUGCAGAGAGGAAUAUUUAUUAAGCCUUCAUCCCUUCCAUAAUUGGACAAUGUAUUGUCUUGAUGUUCUGAUGGGCAGGAAGUUAUUUAGGCAGUAUAUAAACUGUCAUACUACACAGGGCAAAAAUAUUGCUUGUUUUCAAAAAAACAUUAGAAUACAGUAAAAUGCACCUGUCAUGGA